RNAcentral lists this ribosomal RNA (1533 nucleotides) under Klebsiella pneumoniae. RNAcentral describes it as "bacterial SSU rRNA". It matches the Rfam family "Bacterial small subunit ribosomal RNA". The record is from RNAcentral. Lineage: Bacteria; Pseudomonadati; Pseudomonadota; Gammaproteobacteria; Enterobacterales; Enterobacteriaceae.
AAAUUGAAGAGUUUGAUCAUGGCUCAGAUUGAACGCUGGCGGCAGGCCUAACACAUGCAAGUCGAGCGGUAGCACAGAGAGCUUGCUCUCGGGUGACGAGCGGCGGACGGGUGAGUAAUGUCUGGGAAACUGCCUGAUGGAGGGGAUAACUACUGGAAACGGUAGCUAAUACCGCAUAACGUCGCAAGACCAAAGUGGGGACCUUCGGGCCUCAUGCCAUCAGAUGUGCCCAGAUGGGAUUAGCUAGUAGGUGGGGUAACGGCUCACCUAGGCGACGAUCCCUAGCUGGUCUGAGAGGAUGACCAGCCACACUGGAACUGAGACACGGUCCAGACUCCUACGGGAGGCAGCAGUGGGGAAUAUUGCACAAUGGGCGCAAGCCUGAUGCAGCCAUGCCGCGUGUGUGAAGAAGGCCUUCGGGUUGUAAAGCACUUUCAGCGGGGAGGAAGGCGAUAAGGUUAAUAACCUUGUCGAUUGACGUUACCCGCAGAAGAAGCACCGGCUAACUCCGUGCCAGCAGCCGCGGUAAUACGGAGGGUGCAAGCGUUAAUCGGAAUUACUGGGCGUAAAGCGCACGCAGGCGGUCUGUCAAGUCGGAUGUGAAAUCCCCGGGCUCAACCUGGGAACUGCAUUCGAAACUGGCAGGCUAGAGUCUUGUAGAGGGGGUAGAAUUCCAGGUGUAGCGGUGAAAUGCGUAGAGAUCUGGAGGAAUACCGGUGGCGAAGGCGGCCCUGGACAAAGACUGACGCUCAGGUGCGAAAGCGUGGGGAGCAAACAGGAUUAGAUACCCUGGUAGUCCACGCCGUAAACGAUGUCGAUUUGGAGGUUGUGCCCUUGAGGCGUGGCUUCCGGAGCUAACGCGUUAAAUCGACCGCCUGGGGAGUACGGCCGCAAGGUUAAAACUCAAAUGAAUUGACGGGGCCCGCACAAGCGGUGGAGCAUGUGGUUUAAUUCGAUGCAACGCGAAGAACCUUACCUGGUCUUGACAUCCACAGAACUUUCCAGAGAUGGAUUGGUGCCUUCGGGAACUGUGAGACAGGUGCUGCAUGGCUGUCGUCAGCUCGUGUUGUGAAAUGUUGGGUUAAGUCCCGCAACGAGCGCAACCCUUAUCCUUUGUUGCCAGCGGUCCGGCCGGGAACUCAAAGGAGACUGCCAGUGAUAAACUGGAGGAAGGUGGGGAUGACGUCAAGUCAUCAUGGCCCUUACGACCAGGGCUACACACGUGCUACAAUGGCAUAUACAAAGAGAAGCGACCUCGCGAGAGCAAGCGGACCUCAUAAAGUAUGUCGUAGUCCGGAUUGAGUCUGCAACUCGACUCCAUGAAGUCGGAAUCGCUAGUAAUCGUAGAUCAGAAUGCUACGGUGAAUACGUUCCCGGGCCUUGUACACACCGCCCGUCACACCAUGGGAGUGGGUUGCAAAAGAAGUAGGUAGCUUAACCUUCGGGAGGGCGCUUACCACUUUGUGAUUCAUGACUGGGGUGAAGUCGUAACAAGGUAACCGUAGGGGAACCUGCGGUUGGAUCACCUCCUUA